CGGCGUGCUUAAUACAUGCAAGUCGAACGCUCUCGACCUUCGGGUCACAUGAGAGAGUGGCGAACGGGUGCGUAACACGUGAGAAACCUGCCCCAAAGACGGGAAUAGCCCGAGGAAACUCGGAUUAAUACCCGAUACCUCCACAAUGUCGCAUGGCAUUGUGAAGAAAGUUCAGGCGCUUUGGGAGGGUCUCGCGGCCUAUCAGCUUGUUGGUGAGGUAACGGCUCACCAAGGCAUCGACGGGUAGCUGGUCUGAGAGGACGAUCAGCCACACUGGGACUGAGACACGGCCCAGACUCCUACGGGAGGCAGCAGUAGGGAAUCUUGCGCAAUGGGCGAAAGCCUGACGCAGCAACGCCGCGUGGGGGAUGAAUGCCUUCGGGUUGUAAACCCCUUUCAGCAGGGACGAAAAUGACGGUACCUGCAGAAGAAGCUCCGG
Molecule: ribosomal RNA, 439 nt
Filed under: uncultured bacterium
Lineage: Bacteria
Description: bacterial SSU rRNA
Rfam family: Bacterial small subunit ribosomal RNA
Source: RNAcentral